GGGUUGUGAGGUUAAGCGACUAAGCGUACACGGUGGAUGCCCUGGCAGUCAGAGGCGAUGAAGGACGUGCUAAUCUGCGAUAAGCGCCGGUAAGGUGAUAUGAACCGUUAUAACCGGCGAUUUCCGAAUGGGGAAACCCAGUGUGACUCGUCACACUAUCAUUAACUGAAUCCAUAGGUUAAUGAGGCGAACCGGGGGAACUGAAACAUCUAAGUACCCCGAGGAAAAGAAAUCAACCGAGAUUCCCCCAGUAGCGGCGAGCGAACGGGGAGGAGCCCAGAGCCUGAAUCAGCAUGUGUGUUAGUGGAAGCGUCUGGAAAGGCGCGCGAUACAGGGUGACAGCCCCGUACACAAAAGCGCACAUGCUGUGAGCUCGAUGAGUAGGGCGGGACACGUGGUAUCCUGUCUGAAUAUGGGGGGACCAUCCUCCAAGGCUAAAUACUCCUGACUGACCGAUAGUGAACCAGUACCGUGAGGGAAAGGCGAAAAGAACCCCGGCGAGGGGAGUGAAAAAGAACCUGAAACCGUGUACGUACAAGCAGUGGGAGCCCCACCACUAAGCCAGUGGUGAACUCCACAUACGCAUCCUUUGCUGAGGAUACGGUUAACGGAGCGAAAGCGACGUUCAACCUCAAAAGAAGCAGAGGGGGCUUAGUGGUGGGGUGACUGCGUACCUUUUGUAUAAUGGGUCAGCGACUUAUAUUCUGUAGCAAGGUUAACCGAAUAGGGGAGCCGUAGGGAAACCGAGUCUUAAUUGGGCGUUAAGUUGCAGGGUAUAGACCCGAAACCCGGUGAUCUAGCCAUGGGCAGGUUGAAGGUUGGGUAACACUAACUGGAGGACCGAACCGACUAAUGUUGAAAAAUUAGCGGAUGACCUGUGGCU
Molecule: ribosomal RNA, 883 nt
Filed under: Salmonella enterica subsp. enterica serovar Senftenberg
Lineage: Bacteria; Pseudomonadati; Pseudomonadota; Gammaproteobacteria; Enterobacterales; Enterobacteriaceae
Description: bacterial LSU rRNA
Rfam family: Bacterial large subunit ribosomal RNA
Source: RNAcentral